ACUGCUUUACUUUAGAAGUCCCCAUAUUGGAGAGCCCGUUAGUCCCGCCUGAUUAGGUUCAAGACUACCGGGUUUUUUCUU
This 81-nucleotide small RNA is filed under the name Rouxiella silvae. Its description in RNAcentral is "RybB RNA". It matches the Rfam family "RybB RNA". From Rfam's summary of the family: This ncRNA was identified in a large scale screen of E. coli. Lineage: Bacteria; Pseudomonadati; Pseudomonadota; Gammaproteobacteria; Enterobacterales; Yersiniaceae. The record is from RNAcentral.